This 379-nucleotide unclassified non-coding RNA is filed under the name uncultured Gammaproteobacteria bacterium. RNAcentral's name for it is "contains 16S-23S intergenic spacer region". The record is from RNAcentral. Lineage: Bacteria; Pseudomonadati; Pseudomonadota; Gammaproteobacteria.
UCGCUACUUGCGUAGGCAGUCCACUUAGAGUGCCCAGCAUUACCUGAUGGCAACUAAGUGCAGGGGUUGCGCUCGUUGCAGGACUUAACCUAACACCUCACGACACGAGCUGACGACAGCCAUGCAGCACCUGUGUUCCCGUUCCCUUUCGGGCACACCCCCAUCUCUGGGGGCUUCCUGGCAUGUCAAGGGUAGGUAAGGUUUUUCGCGUUGCAUCGAAUUAAUCCACAUAAUCCACCGCUUGUGCGGGUCCCCGUCAAUUCCUUUGAGUUUUAACCUUGCGGCCGUACUCCCCAGGCGGCCAACUUCACGCGUUAGCUUCGUUACCAAGGAAUUGCUUCCCCGACAACCAGUUGACAUAGUUUACGGCAUGGACUAC